This 561-nucleotide long non-coding RNA is filed under the name Mus caroli (Ryukyu mouse). RNAcentral describes it as "lncRNA (MGP_CAROLIEiJ_G0005494.1)". Lineage: Eukaryota; Metazoa; Chordata; Mammalia; Rodentia; Muridae. The record is from RNAcentral.
CUACUGUCUAUUUUUUUUUCCUUCCCCAUAAGCCUAAGGUGUGGGGGAGGCUCCCUCUCUGGAGGAGCAGGUCAGAAGACCUCCAUGCAAAAGCAGGGACUCCCUGGCUGACCCUGUUCUCCCUCUGCAAAAUAAAGGAACCCCACCGGUGCAGAACCGUGCCACUGCACCCAUAAGACAGCCCCGAGGCUCCUGGCAGACCCUAUUGGGAAUUACACAGCAAGAUGGCUUUCCCUACUCCAUCAUGGCUAGAGCCUCUGCAAGGGCUGAAGCCCAUUGAUCUUGGCUUCAUUUGGAUACAUUUCAAGGGCCUUACAGGCUUUGGGCAAGUGCCGAAGUUCACUCAUUUUCUAUUGGUUGUUUCUCCCCAUGAAAGACAUUGAACAUAAGUGGUGUGGAAUAAUGUUAAGCUUCUCUGACGGGUCCUAAAUGGUUGAAGAACACCCCUCAAGAGAUGGAAAGAUUCUAAGAGCCAGAGAGAAUGGAUUACUCCAAGGAAACACAAUGGGACUGAUGACCACAUGAACUCUUAGAGACUGUAGCAGCUUGCACCAGGCCUGU